Molecule: ribosomal RNA, 496 nt
Filed under: uncultured bacterium
Lineage: Bacteria
Description: partial 16S ribosomal RNA
Rfam family: Bacterial small subunit ribosomal RNA
Source: RNAcentral
GACGAACGCUGGCGGCAUGCCUAAUACAUGCAAGUCGAGCGAACAGAUGAAGUGCUUGCACUUCUGACGUUAGCGGCGAACGGGUGAGUAACACGUAAGUAAUCUACCUAUAAGCGGGGGAUAACUUUCGGAAACGGGUGCUAAUACCGCAUAAUAUCUUCUUCCGCAUGGAAGAAGAUUGAAAGACGGCUCUGCUGUCACUUAUAGAUGACCCUGCGGUGCAUUAGUUAGUUGGUGGGGUAACGGCCUACCAAGACGAUGAUGCAUAGCCGACCUGAGAGGGUGAUCGGCAACAUGGGGACUGGGAAACGGCCCAAACUCCAACGGGAGGCAGAGGUGGGGAACCUUCGGCAAUGGGCGAAAGCCUGCCGGAGCAAUGCCGCGUGGGUGAAGAAGGCCUUCGGGUCGUAAACCUCUGUUAUAAGAGAAGAACAAAUUGUAGGGUAACUGCCACAGUCUUGACGGUAUCUUAUCAGAAAGCCACGGCUAACUACGU